Molecule: unclassified non-coding RNA, 1087 nt
Filed under: Hevea brasiliensis (rubber tree)
Lineage: Eukaryota; Viridiplantae; Streptophyta; Magnoliopsida; Malpighiales; Euphorbiaceae
Source: RNAcentral
UUUUGCUGCAAUCUCAUAGUAGUAUCCCCCAUUUGAUGAAGAGGGAGCAAUACAACUAAUAGUGAUCAAAUUUCCAAGGAUUUCUGCUCUGUUGUUCAGAAUAAAUACAACACCUUUCUCUUCUUGAAGAAUAUGGGAUUUGUCAUUAAGGGUAAAAAAUACAGGAAAGGUGUUAUUAUAUUGGAAGUGUAUAGUAGAACCCUUGUGUUUACUGCUAAAAUGCCGGUACAACUGCCUGGAUGAGCCAAUAAAACUGCAACCCAAUAGAGGGCAUGAACAUGGUGUUUGGUUGCAGGUCUUAUCAUGGUCAAAUUUCUUGCUGAAUAUAACCAUUUCUCCACAACCGUACAUCAGAUUUUGGCAUGGUAGUUUCACUGAUUCAAGAACCUUUUCAAUGGCCCGGCAACGAUUAUAGCCAAUAGGCAAAGAGCAGGAAGGACAUUUAUGUGCAAUUUUUUUGCAGCAGGAAGAGCAAGCUGUAUGCCCAUUUUCACACUGAAAGACGGGAAUGGUUAAGGAAUGGUAGCAGACGGGACAAUCAAGCACUUCUGGGUCAGUUAGAGUCACGCAAAUUGCUGCAUUUCUGAUGGGUCCGACGCGGGCAGGACGAUUAGAUGAUCUGGGCAUGAUCAAUGAUGGGUGAUCAUCUCCUCCUCUUCCUUCUUCUUCUUCCUCUUCCUCGUCAUCUUCGUCCUCCUCAUCCCCUUCUUCUUCAUUUUGGUCAUUUUCCUCCUCUAAUACAUCAUCAUCAUCCUCUACUAAUUCAAUUUCUUCAUCUUCUGGAUCAUGCCAGGACGCUUGUUGAGGAGAAUCGCGAUUCUUAUGCCUGUUCCGCCUAGGACUGCUUGGUCCUUCAUCUGCUUCUCCGCCAACUGAGAAUCUCGCCAUGUCUGUAAAUUUUAAUUUCCUAAAAACGCCAUGCUCUCCAGUCUCCAGUCUCCUCUCAUCACGCACUAACCCUUUGGAUUGAGAGAAAUGGAGAGAAGAGAAGAGAAAUGGAGAGAAGAGAAAAUUCCUUUAAAUUUCUUUGUUUGGACAUCAAAUUGAAGAGAAAUGAAAGAUAAAGGAAGAGAAAAAAAGCGAAAUU